This 252-nucleotide ribosomal RNA is filed under the name uncultured bacterium. RNAcentral describes it as "partial 16S ribosomal RNA". It matches the Rfam family "Bacterial small subunit ribosomal RNA", at positions 524 to 776 of the family's 1533-position model. The record is from RNAcentral.
UACGGAGGAUGCGAGCGUUAUCCGGAUUUAUUGGGUUUAAAGGGUGCGUAGGCGGGAUGCCAAGUCAGCGGUAAAAAUGCGGUGCUCAACGCCGUCGAGCCGUUGAAACUGGCGUUCUUGAGCGGGCGAGAAGUAUGCGGAAUGCGUGGUGUAGCGGUGAAAUGCAUAGAUAUCACGCAGAACUCCGAUUGCGAAGGCGGCAUACCGGCGCCCUACUGACGCUGAGGCACGAAAGCGUGGGUAUCGAACAGG